UUAGUGGCGAACGGGUGAGUAACACGUGGGCAAUCUGCCCUUCACUCUGGGACAAGCCCUGGAAACGGGGUCUAAUACCGGAUAACACUCCUGUCCUCCUGGACGGGGGUUAAAAGCUCCGGCGGUGAAGGAUGAGCCCGCGGCCUAUCAGCUUGUUGGUGAGGUAAUGGCUCACCAAGGCGACGACGGGUAGCCGGCCUGAGAGGGCGACCGGCCACACUGGGACUGAGACACGGCCCAGACUCCUACGGGAGGCAGCAGUGGGGAAUAUUGCACAAUGGGCGAAAGCCUGGGUGGGGCGACGCCGCGUGAGGGAUGACGGCCUUCGGGUUGUAAACCCUCUUUCAGCAGGGAAGAAGCGAAAAGUGACGGUACCUGCAGGAAAGAAGCGGCCGGGCUAACUACGUG
RNAcentral lists this ribosomal RNA (408 nucleotides) under Streptomyces chartreusis. RNAcentral describes it as "bacterial SSU rRNA". It matches the Rfam family "Bacterial small subunit ribosomal RNA", at positions 92 to 507 of the family's 1533-position model. The record is from RNAcentral. Lineage: Bacteria; Bacillati; Actinomycetota; Actinomycetes; Kitasatosporales; Streptomycetaceae.